AGUGAACGCUGGCGGUAGGCCUAACACAUGCAAGCCGAACGGCAGCACAGUAAGAGCUUGCUCUUACGGGUGGCGAGUGGCGGACGGGUGAGGAAUACAUCGGAAUCUACUUUUUCGUGGGGGAUAACGUAGGGAAACUUACGCUAAUACCGCAUACGACCUACGGGUGAAAGCAGGGGAUCUUCGGACCUUUCGCGAUUGAAUGAGCCGAUGUCGGAUUAGCUAGUUGGCGGGGUAAAGGCCCACCAAGGCGACGAUCCGUAGCUGGUCUGAGAGGAUGAUCAGCCACACUGGAACUGAGACACGGUCCAGACUCCUACGGGAGGCAGCAGUGGGGAAUAUUGGACAAUGGGCGCAAUCCUGAUCCAGCCAUACCGCGUGGGUGAAAAAGGCCUUCGGGUUGUAAAGCCCUGUUGUUGGGAAAGAAAAGCAGCAGGUUAAUACCCCGCUGUUCUGACGGUACCCAAAGAAAAAGCACCGGCUAACUUCGUG
RNAcentral lists this ribosomal RNA (492 nucleotides) under uncultured bacterium. RNAcentral describes it as "partial 16S ribosomal RNA". It matches the Rfam family "Bacterial small subunit ribosomal RNA", at positions 29 to 507 of the family's 1533-position model. The record is from RNAcentral.